RNAcentral lists this ribosomal RNA (230 nucleotides) under Vibrio parahaemolyticus. Its description in RNAcentral is "partial 16S ribosomal RNA". It matches the Rfam family "Bacterial small subunit ribosomal RNA", at positions 1121 to 1350 of the family's 1533-position model. The record is from RNAcentral. Lineage: Bacteria; Pseudomonadati; Pseudomonadota; Gammaproteobacteria; Vibrionales; Vibrionaceae.
GCGAGUAAUGUCGGGAACUCCAGGAAGACUGCCGGUGAUAAUCCGGAGGAAGGUGGGCACGACGUCAAGUCAUCAGGGCCCUUACGAGUAGUGCUACACACAGGCUACAAUGGCGCAUACAGAAGGCAGCCAACUUGCUAAAGUGACCGAAUCCCAAAAAGUACGUCGUGGUCCGGAUUGGAGUCUGCAACUCGACUCCAUGAAGUCGGAAUCGCUAGUAAUCGUGGAUC